GACGAACGCUGGCGGCGUGCUUAACACAUGCAAGUCGAACGGAAAGGCCUCUUUCGGGGGGUACUCGAGUGGCGAACGGGUGAGUAACACGUGAGUAACCUGCCCUUGACUUUGGGAUAACUUCAGGAAACUGGGGCUAAUACCGGAUAGGAGCUCCUGCUGCAUGGUGGGGGUUGGAAAGUUUCGGCGGUUGGGGAUGGACUCGCGGCUUAUCAGCUUGUUGGUGGGGUAGUGGCUUACCAAGGCUUUGACGGGUAGCCGGCCUGAGAGGGUGACCGACCACAUUGGGACUGAGAUACGGCCCAGACUCCUACGGGAGGCAGCAGUGGGGAAUAUUGCACAAUGGGUGGAAGCCUGAUGCAGCAACGCCGUGUGCGGGAUGACGGCCUUCGGGUUGUAAACCGCUUUCGCUCAUGACGAAGCUUUGUGUGACGGUAGUGGGUAAAGAAGCACCGGCUAACUACGUG
RNAcentral lists this ribosomal RNA (467 nucleotides) under uncultured bacterium. Its description in RNAcentral is "partial 16S ribosomal RNA". It matches the Rfam family "Bacterial small subunit ribosomal RNA", at positions 28 to 507 of the family's 1533-position model. The record is from RNAcentral.